CUUUAGUGUUAUAGUGAUGCGCGCGCAUGUUAAAAUUUCACUCUCAUCAUUUUUUCAUAACGCGCCUAAAGAAGUAUAACAAAAACAUGGAUUACAAUGUAAUAUCGUAGUUGGUUUUCUCUUUGGUUGCAACUUGUUGGGGCAAAGCGGCCGAAAAGAGAAGUGCGUUUGGAUGGGACACGGGACUUUCGUUGCAACAACCGCACGACAAUAUCGUCCAGCUCACUCCUUUGAAAAAUCUACAUGAAGCUGCCGAAUCAAGUUCAGACGUGGCUGGGGCGAUAGCAGCGGCAAAAGCAGCAGCGUCCGCUGUUAUGGCAGCACAGCGUCAGGUUGCUGCAGCUAAACAUGCAGCGCUUGAAGAACAAAGCUUUGCAAGCUCAAAGGAAGCUGAGGCUGCUCAUGCUGCCCACAGAAGUGAGGAAGCCGCCCGCAUAGCCCGUGCCCACGCACUCCAGGCGGCACAAGCGGCAGUGCACGCCCAGGCACAGCUGGCUUCUGCGAAGGCCAGGGCUGCAGCAGCUCAGAGGAUCGCUGCCGCCCGCGAGGCGGCUGCUGCCAGAGCAAUCCAGCGCGCUGCUGAAAACCAAGCUGCUAAGCUGCAAAGUGCAGACCUGGAAGCCCUGAAACUGUCUGUUCUACAAAGUUCUGGAGCAGCUGGCGCAGCUAGUGCUGCCCAACACGCCGCAUCAGCAGCUGCUGCAGCUCUCAAGCCCUGGAAUCCGUCAUGGAAUGGUUGGAAUCCUGGAUAUGCAGCAUCCAAAGGGCCCUGGUCUUGGUCUUAGGUUAACUAAUAGAACAAGGAUCAUCGUAUAGAAACAUGUUUUUAAUACCGGAUUUUAAGAAAUUUAUUUUGUAUGUUACAAUAUAGGUCCUUAACUUUUCUAAUUCAAUUUCGUAACAUCUGAAAUGUUAGGUUUUACCUUUAUCAAAGUAUAAUAGAACUAAGUAUCUUAUGACUCAACAUGUUUGUUAUAGUUCUGGAAACUAAAAAUUUUAGGAAUUGCGAUUAAAUAGCUGGUACACACCUAAACAGAUAUUUGAGUAGACAGUAGAGACAUUGAAAUAUUUUUUUAUUAAUUCGUUUUAAAAUCUACGUUACUACGUUAUUCCAAAUUGUAAACAAAGUCAUACGCCUGAAACUUUGUUUUUGACACAACAUUCUUCAAUAGGAGCAAAUAUCAGCUAAUAAUUUGUCAGAACAAUGUCGAAAGUAAAAGUUUUAAUAUAGUUUUUCAUUAAUUCCACUGAAAAAGAUUAGUAAGAUAUUUAGGAUAUUAUCUCUAAUUGCAAUUUAUGUUUGUAAGUUUGACUGAAGAAUCUGACGUCCUUAAAAUAAGACAAUAAUUUUUGCGUCUGUUAUCUUUUUCACGCCUGUCCUUAUCUUGAAACAUUUAUUUCAUAAGUUAACUGGUCUAAUUUUAUUUUAAUAAACUGUUUAUUAUGUA
Molecule: long non-coding RNA, 1448 nt
Organism: Leptidea sinapis
Lineage: Eukaryota; Metazoa; Arthropoda; Insecta; Lepidoptera; Pieridae
Exons: 5
Source: RefSeq, a predicted model, not a curated record